GGCGACGCUAGUCUCAGUACUUGACCCGUCGCUGCUAUCACAACCGCUGCUAGUAACGGACCUGACGAUUCGUCAAUAAACAUUGCGAAAAUAUUGGACGACUUUCGGAUGAAUUUUGUUGAAGACACUUAAAAAUCGAAUAAUAAAUUUGAAUUGUGGAAAAUGAUUUGCGUCAAACACGCGCCGCGCGUAUGAUCGUAAAUUUGACCUUGGGAGUCAUACGCGCACUCUUAUCGCGAGAAGAAAAAACGUGACGUGCUUCAAUUCUGCUAUAGCGUGUCGUGCAUAUUUUUUAUCGAAUUUAUCGAGCCAUCGAGUAUUAUAAGCACUUUUUUCCAGUGGAGCUCGAAUCUUGUUAUCGCAUGCAUGUGAGACUGGGUAAAAAAUGUAUGGAAUUGAUUCGAUAUAGAGUUGAACGAAUAAAAAUAAAAAGAGAAAAAAUGCUCGUUUAUGUGUUCAAGGAAAUCGUCGAUCUUCAAUCGCGCUAUCAUUGGUUAAAUUGAUCGCACUCGCAAAUCAGCACGAAAGAAUCCGAUAUGCAAUGUUUCUGGACUGCGAGUUCAAAACAAUGCGAUUAACACGAGAACUAUAUCUUGUUAUGAAAAAUGAUCAAAAUACCCAAAGACGUUGAUCUUGUUUUUUUCGAUGCGAUAUACGGGAUCGAAGUUUUCCGGGAUAUUUUUAAAUCGUAUAUUUGUCCUUUGUUCCAUAAUUUUGAAAGGUUCGUUUUUUGGUACGUUGCUCUUAUAGGUUAUGUUUUUCCCGGGCAUUUGGUUUGGUCGUUUUACCUGGCACAGCUCUGGCUCCCAUCCGAGAAGAAAAUGACAUGAGAGCGAUCCCGACGAGCGUGCAAUCCAACAGGGGCUUUGUCAGACUCGAGUAAAGAUGGGCCACGGAACUGGCCAAUUCUGAAAGAUCGUCAGUCAGUCUUUGUUCCGCACCUCCGAGUCUCGUAUCCAGAGCAGAUACUCUGUAGUACGUCUGUUGACUCAGAUACAUCUUGUACGCGUAUUUAACUAGUCUUUCUCUAAAAAAUAAAAAUGAAAACAAAAAGGAAACGAUAAGUGGAAAAUAAUUUGAAAAAAAAUGAAUUAAAAGACAAACUACCGGGAGAUUCUGAGCUUUGAAAAAAAUCGUUCGAAACGGCUUUCGAUUCGGAACAAUGGCGAGGAACAUUUUGAAGAAGGCUACCUCGCCUCUCAGAACCGUUCUCCAGACUGCAAACGACUUUCAAACUAUUGUCUCACGAUUACGCUUCAUUCGGGGCUCCUGUCGUCGGGUCAAGAGGGCAUUCUCGUUGCAGUACCGAUGGGAUAAGCGGGC
Long non-coding RNA from Venturia canescens, 1323 nucleotides. RefSeq lists it as uncharacterized. Lineage: Eukaryota; Metazoa; Arthropoda; Insecta; Hymenoptera; Ichneumonidae. The transcript has 3 exons. The record is from RefSeq and is a predicted model, not a curated record.